GACGAACGCUGGCGGCGCGCUUAACACAUGCAAGUCGAACGGUGAAGUAGAGCUUGCUCUAUGGAUCAGUGGCGAACGGGUGAGUAACACGUGGGCAACCUGCCCCAGACUCUGGGAUAACUCCUCGAAAGAGGGGCUAAUACCGGAUAUUUGCAUUGCAAGACAUCUUGUGAUGCAGAAAGAAUUUCGGUCUGGGAUGGGCCCGCGGCCUAUCAGCUUGUUGGUGAGGUAACGGCUCACCAAGGCGACGACGGGUAGCCGGCCUGAGAGGGGGACCGGCCACACUGGGACGGAGACACGGCCCAGACUCCUACGGGAGGCAGCAGUGGGGAAUAUUGGGCAAUGGGCGAAAGCCUGACCCAGCAACGCCGCGUGAGGGAUGAAGGUCCUCGGAUUGUAAACCUCUUUCAGCAGGGACGAAGCGAAAGUGACGGUACCUGCAGAAGAAGCACCGGCUAACUACGUGCCAGCAGCCGCCGUAA
Molecule: ribosomal RNA, 482 nt
Filed under: uncultured bacterium
Lineage: Bacteria
Description: partial 16S ribosomal RNA
Rfam family: Bacterial small subunit ribosomal RNA
Source: RNAcentral